GAAUGCCACGCUUUUCAAAGUGUCUGAGUGAUAGGCACUUUCUAAAUAUGUACAGCGAUGGCCUGAUAAGCAACUAAGCGUCUGGCUUCGCGGGUUCAUGCCCGAGGCUGUGCGGUCGGGAAGGGUGGGGGCUCAGCUGAAACCUCAGCUCCUCCUUACAGGCCUGGCUUGGAAACGGUUCUGUUCACUGCUGGGGUCCCCAUUUUCCAACUUUUACUUCUGAGACUGGAAGAAGACAAGAGACACCUCCCCACCCCCUAUCCUCUGCUUCCACGCCCGCGACUCAGCCCAGGUGACCCAAACGGCUGAGUCAACUUGGCGCAAUCGGAGCGUCCCCAUUGCGCCGGCCGCCCCCAGCCCCCUUCGCCCCUCGCUUGGCCCCACAAUGCGCCCUUGUGCAGCGCCUGCAGUCAGGCCGGGGAUUUGGCGCAGGGAUGGGGGGAAUAUUCGUCAGAUAUUUAAAACAGAGCCGAGAGAACAAAGCAGGCCUUUGUGCAGUGAGGCGGCCCGGGAGCUGGGAGCCGCCGGCCCCCGAGCACGGUGCUGGGCCAGGCGAAUGCGCAUGCGCGGGGCGACCUGCGAGCUCGGGUUCCGGGCCGGCUUCUACCCAGCUCAAUUACCUGGUGGUCACAAGAAAGCAAAGGGAUUUUUAUGUGACAUCAUCUUGGCAAGAAGCUCCCUUACCAACCUUGACCUCCAGGUCUCCAUGGCAAUUGCUGCUGGGACAUCAUUGGCACCAGAUUGUGUCCCCUAAAGGCCACACUGCAGCAAGGGCAGAUAAACAAUUUCAUGGCAA
Long non-coding RNA from Mandrillus leucophaeus (drill), 796 nucleotides. RefSeq lists it as uncharacterized. NCBI's taxonomy places the organism in Eukaryota, Metazoa, Chordata, Mammalia, Primates, Cercopithecidae. The record is from RefSeq and is a predicted model, not a curated record. The transcript is spliced from 2 exons.